UGGGGAAUUGUUCGCAAUGGGCGAAAGCCUGACGACGCAACGCCGCGUGGAGGAUGAAGACCUUCGGGUCGUAAACUCCUUUCGACCGAGAAGAAUGGCUCUCGACCUAAUACGUCGAGAGCAUGACGGUAUCGAGGGAAGAAGCCCCGGCUAACUCUGUGCCAGCAGCCGCGGUAAUACAGGGGGGGCAAGCGUUGUUCGGAAUCACUGGGCGUAAAGGGCGUGUAGGCGGGAACUUAAGUCUGGUUUUAAAGACCGGGGCUCAACCUCGGGGAUGGACUGGAUACUGGGUUUCUAGACCUCUGGAGAGAGGCUCGGAAUUUCUGGUGUAGCGGUGGAAUGCGUAGAUACCAGAAGGAACACCGAUGGCGAAGGCAGAGUCUUGGACAGAAGGUGACGCUGAGGCGCGAAAGUGUGGGGAGCGAACCGGAUUAGAUACCCGGGUAGUCCACACCCUAAACGAUGUACGUUGGAUGACGGUCGGAUGCGAUCGUUGUCGAAGUUAACGCGAUAAACGUACCGCCUGGGAAGUACGGCCGCAAGGUUG
This 547-nucleotide ribosomal RNA is filed under the name uncultured bacterium. Its description in RNAcentral is "bacterial SSU rRNA". It matches the Rfam family "Bacterial small subunit ribosomal RNA", at positions 355 to 896 of the family's 1533-position model. The record is from RNAcentral.